Molecule: long non-coding RNA, 878 nt
Organism: Lathyrus oleraceus (garden pea)
Lineage: Eukaryota; Viridiplantae; Streptophyta; Magnoliopsida; Fabales; Fabaceae
Exons: 2
Source: RefSeq, a predicted model, not a curated record
AUAAAACAGAAAUAUAUAAUGUUGAAGACUUCCUAAGACUUGUGAUCAGAUAUCAACAAUUUUCCAUCCCUAGUUUUCCACAUCCAGUACAUAUAGGCCAACCUUCAAUGGAUACAAAAGUAACAAUUGAAGGUUAUCAUGAAGACCUUGAAGGAAUUCCUUAUCUGUUAUGACUUGUAACAAAAAAAAAUUCUGGUUAUAGCAUAACCAGCAAAUAUGGAUCAACAAAUAUUUUUUUGGUUAUUUUCCCAUUGUGCUAUAAUUCAUAAUUAGUUAAGAAGAGAGACUUGCAUGUGCUUGAAUAUGGAUCUUCAAAAUCUCUCAUAGCUACUUGUGAUGUUUUCCACCCAGCAUUCAUGUUUAACUGUUUUAAAUGCUUGAAAAGUUCUCUAGUUUUGGCUACAAGUCAAUUGUUAGCUGAAGUUUGCAAGGUCUAAAAGUAUGAAAUCUCAUGAAACCGAGUUGAAAUCUUACUGCAUUUGCUAGGCUGUAUUAAAUCCAUAAACCUUUUUAUUUUCUUCUUUUCAACUUCUAUCUUCUUCUGCUUCUUUUUGUGAGUUCAUGUUAGUCUGAUAUGUUUAAAGCAUAUUUAAACCAAUAUUUUACGAUAAUUUGACCAAGUGGUUUGUGAUUUUUUUACAGGAAUUUAUUAAGAAUAUCGAGAAGCAUUUACCAUGAAGAUUGGUGCUACUUAAAUGGACAUGGAGACACUUUUGACAGAUUUAGAUUUUUUUGAUUGCUCUCGUAGUCGAAGCAUUGAAUGUGUAUUUGUUAUAUUUUCUAAAAAAACUUGAUAUUUGGAUUGCUAUGUUAGCAAAAAUGAAAUGAAGAACAUAUUGAUGAUCAAUGUUGACGUAGUGAGGGGAAUUAGUUGGCUU